Molecule: ribosomal RNA, 496 nt
Filed under: uncultured bacterium
Lineage: Bacteria
Description: partial 16S ribosomal RNA
Rfam family: Bacterial small subunit ribosomal RNA
Source: RNAcentral
AUGAACGCUGGCGGCGUGCCUCAUCCAUGCCAGUCGAGCGAACGGACGAGAAGCUUGCUUCUCUGAUGUUAGCGGCGGACGGGUGAGUAACACGUGGAUAACCUACCUAUAAGACUGGGAUAACUUCGGGAAACCGGAGCUAAUACCGGAUAAUAUUUUGAACCGCAUGGUUCAAAAGUGAAAGACGGUCUUGCUGUCACUUAUAGAUGGAUCCGCGCUGCAUUAGCUAGUUGGUAAGGUAACGGCUUACCAAGGCAACGAUGCAUAGCCGACCUGAGAGGGUGAUCGGCCACACUGGAACUGAGACACGGUCCAGACUCCUACGGGAGGCAGCAGUAGGGAAUCUUCCGCAAUGGGCGAAAGCCUGACGGAGCAACGCCGCGUGAGUGAUGAAGGUCUUCGGAUCGUAAAACUCUGCUAUUAGGGAAGAACAUAUGUGUAAGUAACUGUGCACAUCUUGACGGUACCUAAUCAGAAAGCCACGGCUAACUACGUG